GCAGUGGCAGUCGGGACCCAGCAUGAACAUGAGGGCCUCCAUGCAGCUCCUCAGCCUCUUGCUGCUCUGGCUCCCAGGUGCCAGCUGUGCCAUCCAGCUGACCCAGUCUCCAGCCUCCCUGGCUGCAUCUCUAGGAGACACAGUCUCCAUCACUUGCCGGGCCAGUCAGAGUGUUAGCAAUAAUUUAGCCUGGUAUCAACAACAAGCAGGGAAGGCUCCUAAGCUCCUCAUUUACUGGGCAUCCGCUUUGCAAAGUGGAGUCCCUUCCCGGUUCAAGGGCAGUGGAUCUGGCACUGAUUUCACCCUCACCAUCAGUGGCCUGCAGGCUGAAGAUGUUGCAACUUAUUCUUGUCAGCAGCUUAACAGUGCACCUCCCACAGUGUUACAGCCAGCACAAACCCCCCCCUCCCCGGGGAAGCAGAUGUGUGAGGCUGGCCACCCCAGCUGCUCUUGGUGCUCCAACCGCUGA
Molecule: non-coding RNA, 469 nt
Organism: Sus scrofa (pig)
Lineage: Eukaryota; Metazoa; Chordata; Mammalia; Artiodactyla; Suidae
Source: the annotation of a RefSeq genome assembly